UACGAAGGGGGCUAGCGUUGCUCGGAAUUACUGGGCGUAAAGCGCGUGUAGGCUGCUCUGCAAGUCGGAUGUGAAAGCCCUGGGCUCAACCUAGGAAGUGCACUCGAAACUGCAGAGCUUGAGUCUCGGAGAGGAUCGCGGAAUUCUCGGUGUAGAGGUAAAAUUCGUAGAUAUCGAGAGGAACACCGGUGGCGAAGGCGGCGAUCUGGACGAUGACUGACGCUGAGACGCGAAAGCGUGGGGAGCAAACAGG
RNAcentral lists this ribosomal RNA (253 nucleotides) under uncultured bacterium. RNAcentral's name for it is "partial 16S ribosomal RNA". It matches the Rfam family "Bacterial small subunit ribosomal RNA", at positions 524 to 776 of the family's 1533-position model. The record is from RNAcentral.